UACGUAGGGGGCAAGCGUUGUCCGGAAUUAUUGGGCGUAAAGCGCGUGUAGGCGGUUCGAUAAGUCUGCUGUAAAAGUCGGGAGCUCAACUCUCGAAAGCCGGUGGAUACUGUCGGACUAGAGUACGGAAGAGGCGAGUGGAAUUCCUGGUGUAGCGGUGAAAUGCGCAGAUAUCAGGAGGAACACCAAUUGCGAAGGCAGCUCGCUGGGACGUUACUGACGCUGAGACGCGAAAGCGUGGGGAGCAAACAGG
This 253-nucleotide ribosomal RNA is filed under the name uncultured bacterium. Its description in RNAcentral is "partial 16S ribosomal RNA". It matches the Rfam family "Bacterial small subunit ribosomal RNA", at positions 524 to 776 of the family's 1533-position model. The record is from RNAcentral.